AUGUUUUCUUCAUUCUUGUUUAUUUUAAGCUCAGAUAGAAAAGGGGCUGUGCACAACAACUGAGAAAAGGAAGCAAAAUGUGCACUUUUUAGAAGUUCGGACAUAUACAAGUAUUUUACAUAAAUUGCAUAAAGGUCAGACUAUCAAGAGUUUUACAGUCCCAGAAGUACCUUAAUCUAUAGCUUCAGAAUAGAUAUAUUUAAGGUAAGAAAUAUCUGUAAUCGCAAAAGUCUUGUACUUCAAUAGUUUCGUUUUGGGGGAGGGUAUUCAAUAUAUAUUAAUGACUACAUUAAUUACUGUUAUCCUCUGAAAAAGUACACAGAUUUUAAUUCCCUGUUUGCUAAUCAAGCUUUGUAAGUCAACUUAAGCCUCAUUGCAAACUUAUAUUUAGAUGACAUAAGAAGAAGAUAGCUAUCCCAUGUUCCUUCCAUUUACUUGUUCUGAUAAGAUUUUUUUACUAUAUCUUCCAAUAAUGUUUUUCUCAGCACUUCUGAGUCUGAAUAACCUAAUAGCAGAAACUUUCAGGUUAAAAAAAAAAAAAAAAGAAUGGUAGAAUAUGUUAUUCUCUUUGAACUACUUCUGCUGCUGGAGAUUACUUAGCUGCUGAGAGGGACAGAGUUGUUUUGAUUUUCUACUGAACUCUCAUCCAGAUUUACUUAAUUCUCAAAUGUUGGUAAAAAGCAGCUCCAUAAAUACAGUUUAUAAUAUCACAGAAAGUCACAGACUCAACCAAUUGUUCAUUUUGAUUGUCCUUGCUAAUUUUGAAGUAAGACAGGAAUGACUUCACUUCCCACCAAAAUGUUUUGCGUCCCACGGGUCUUCAAACCAGAGCUAUGGAGUGUCCUGCAAAGAAGCCCACACCUACACACAAGCCACCUAAAAAUAUCAUUGUCCCAACUCAAAAGCUGCAAGCUAUUUAAAAACCUACCAGUGAUCCAGAAGAUAUGAGACUAAGCAUCGAUAUUCACCUUGUAUGUCAAUACCAUAAGUAUUUUAAAAUGAGCUCAAAGGGAAGAGAGAGCUACCAGACCGCUCAGAAAAAAAAAAAACAGACUACUUCUGUAACAGGGGGAAGUGCUGUUUUUGCAUCUGUGUGAGUUGGAGUCCAGCUGUCUGGAAACAGCUCUGCACGGAAGGACACCAGGAUUCUGGUGCACAGCAAGUCGAAGGAGCCACGUGUGCACAGCCAAAGGUAUCUCACCUUAAUAGAAAAGUCCUGCGCUCCAACUCAAAGAGUUCCAUCUCCAGAACCAAUAUAAUUUCUUAAUGAGGCCACACAAGGAAACCAAAGAUCAAGCAACAUUGCAGAAGGUGAAGCAGCACCUCAGCAACCAGCAACACAGUAUGAUAUAGUCAAGUGGUGGAGCAAGAAAGCAGAAAGAGAGAAGGAGAGAGAGCGGAGACCUUGCCAACUUUGCUUCUUGGAGAAUACUGAAGUAAAACAGCUGAACAUCAGAAACAACUCAUGAUGAGCUUGUCAUUUGAAUUCAACAGCAGGGGCCCCACACUUGGUAACCAUUACCACUGCCUAAUCUACUGCAUGUUUUCUUAGUCAGUAGAGAUUAGAGCAAUGGUACUUCAGACAUCUAUUGGGAAUAGAACUAAAAUGGAAUCAUGAAAAUUAUGUGUAAAAAUAAAAAUAUAUCAUAUAAACAAUGUUACUUUGCUGAAUGUUGGCCUAAUAAAAAUGCUGCUUGUUGCUAUGCUGGAGUCCUACCUUUGGGAAUUGACUGCAGACUCUAACAACAAAACAAAGAGACUAUGGGCUUUUGAGGCUUCUAUAAAUUUAGAAACUCAUUGAGAACACUUGUCCACACAGGGGGAAGUUUUCUAAGUUACGUGCUUGGGAUUAGGCUGUGUGAUCGCCAACAAUGUUAAUGGGAGUUAUUCUUGCCUCUGAAAAUAUCAGCCUAACUCUGUAAUAAAGUAAUUUCCUCCACUAUUGGUUUAAGAGUUUUGUGCCAAAUUUCUGACCUCAGUUACUUAUUUGAAAUCCAAGGUUGUUUUUUGGAUUGCAUUGUAAUGAAUCAGUGCCUGCAGGCAAGAGAAACAAUUGCUCAAUAAAAUUCAGAGACUAAAAG
Long non-coding RNA from Taeniopygia guttata (zebra finch), 2081 nucleotides. RefSeq lists it as uncharacterized. Lineage: Eukaryota; Metazoa; Chordata; Aves; Passeriformes; Estrildidae. The record is from RefSeq and is a predicted model, not a curated record.